RNAcentral lists this long non-coding RNA (200 nucleotides) under Elaeis guineensis (African oil palm). RNAcentral's name for it is "long non-coding RNA (EGUI_LNC080900)". Lineage: Eukaryota; Viridiplantae; Streptophyta; Magnoliopsida; Arecales; Arecaceae. The record is from RNAcentral.
UGUCGGGUGUUCUGGAUAUAGUGAAGUGUGCAUAAAGGUUGUGUGUGGUCAAUAAGGGAUUGGUCACUCCUAAUAAGUAGAGCAAACAUCCUAUGUGAUCUCACAGAUCGAUGAUUAGGGAAGUCUUUGGCCAAAGUAGGAUAAUAAUUAGAAAGAGAUUUCUAAUAUAUCAUCAACUAAAUCAUCACCUUCUGAUCGAG